AAGCUUAUGCACCGUCCAUAAGCUACAGUAAACUGCUGAAUACACCCCCAUGUCCUUGCUUCAUACACCCCCACUUCUUACACAUCACCCUCACCCUAACCUAAUAGACAAAAUCUUUCAGACAAAAUAUCUUCACUCCAACUCCGCCGUCGUUUCCAACUCCGCCGUCUGCGUUCGUACCAAUUCUAAGGUUGAUUUCUCAUCUCGUCCUUUUAGGGUUUUUACGGAAAUCAAAGCUCAACAUCAUCACCAUCGCCAUCAUCAUCAACG
This 270-nucleotide long non-coding RNA is filed under the name Trifolium pratense (red clover). RNAcentral describes it as "long non-coding RNA (TPRA_LNC006173)". The record is from RNAcentral. Lineage: Eukaryota; Viridiplantae; Streptophyta; Magnoliopsida; Fabales; Fabaceae.